GACGCAAGCAUGCCACUCUUCUCAACUCAAUGGAAAUGAACUAUGAAAUAAUGUUGAACUUUGAUCUCUACACCAACUAUACUUCUUUCCUCAACAUCAAAUUUGACGUGGUUGAAAUUUGAGCAUCAAUUUUACUCUUGAUCAGAGCAAACUUAGCUCCUCUGAAGUAUAGAACCUUUUGAUGGCUAACUAAAUGUGCUAUGUGCAUUCUAAUAUAGGAGAGAAAUCCUACCUUUUCUGCUCUGCUUCUAUAGAUGCUCACAAAAACAUUAUUCUAUAAUCUUUAUUUUACACUUUCCAUAUAUUCAUCUUACAUCUAGAAGUCCGUAUAUUAAUUGGCAUUUAUAACACACUAGUACAUAAAUCUUUAUUAGAGAUGGGCAGAAUGAGUUAACGGAGUCGGGCAUUGCAUCCGCCUCCAAUCAAUAGUCACUAUUAAUGGUAGACCAUGGAGGCGGUUAAUCAGUAUGAAAAAACAAAAAAAAUGAAAAAGCUCAUAGCCCAGACCUAGCGGGCCUAGACUGGGCCUCGUGCCGCCACCACUGCACACCGCUACCACCGGGGGAGCGAGCCCUGCCCUAUACGCGCCAUAGUCAAGGUUGCUUGAUCAGCCAUGUGCACAUCCCUUGUUGCCGGAUUUGGCCAGUGCACCUUCGCUAGAGGCCGCCGCACUUCUGCCUCACACCACCACACCUCCACCACAUCUGGCUGCAUGCACUCUCUCCUGUCGUAUCCCGGAGGUGGUAGAGGGGUAGCAGGCCGCCACCACCAUG
This 773-nucleotide long non-coding RNA is filed under the name Sorghum bicolor (sorghum). RNAcentral describes it as "long non-coding RNA (SBIC_LNC013109)". Lineage: Eukaryota; Viridiplantae; Streptophyta; Magnoliopsida; Poales; Poaceae. The record is from RNAcentral.